Molecule: ribosomal RNA, 497 nt
Filed under: uncultured bacterium
Lineage: Bacteria
Description: partial 16S ribosomal RNA
Rfam family: Bacterial small subunit ribosomal RNA
Source: RNAcentral
GAUGAACGCUGGCGGCGUGCCUAAUACAUGCGAGUCGAGCGAACGGACGAGAAGCUUUCUUCUCUGAUGUUAGCGGCGGACGGGUGAGUAACACGUGGAUAACCUACCUAUAAGACUGGGAUAACUUCGGGAAACCGUAGCUAAUACCGGAUAAUAUUUUGAACCGCAUGGUUCAAAAGUGAAAGACGGUCUUGCUGUCACUUAUAGAUGGAUCCGCGCUGCAUUAGCUAGUUGGUAAGGUAACGGCUUACCAAGGCAACGAUGCAUAGCCGACCUGAGAGGGUGAUCGGCCACACUGGAACUGAGACACGGUCCAGACUCCUACGGGAGGCAGCAGUAGGGAAUCUUCCGCAAUGGGCGAAAGCCUGACGGAGCAACGCCGCGUGAGUGAUGAAGGUCUUCGGAUCGUAAAACUCUGUUAUUAGGGAAGAACAUAUGUGUAAGUAACUGUGCACAUCUUGACGGUACCUAAUCAGAAAGCCACGGCUAACUACGUG